CUUGGUCAUUUAGAGGAAGUAAAAGUCGUAACAAGGUCUCCGUUGGUGAACCAGCGGAGGGAUCAUUACCGAGUUUACAACUCCCAAACCCCUGUGAACAUACCUUAAUGUUGCCUCGGCGGAUCAGCCCGCGCCCCGUAAAACGGGACGGCCCGCCAGAGGACCCAAACUCUAAUGUUUCUUAUUGUAACUUCUGAGUAAAACAAACAAAUAAAUCAAAACUUUCAACAACGGAUCUCUUGGUUCUGGCAUCGAUGAAGAACGCAGCGAAAUGCGAUAAGUAAUGUGAAUUGCAGAAUUCAGUGAAUCAUCGAAUCUUUGAACGCACAUUGCGCCCGGCAGUAAUCUGCCGGGCAUGCCUGUCCGAGCGUCACUUCACCCCUCGAGCCGCUUUUAGUGGAUCGGUGUUGGGGCACUACGGUAAAACGUAGGCCCCGAAAUGAAGUGGCGGUCCCGCCGCGGUGCCCCCAUGCGUAGUAACGUUUAGUCUCGCAUCGGGUCCCGGCGGAGGCCUGCCGUCAAGCCUUUUAUUCUCAGAAUAGUUUGACCUCGGAUCAGGUAGGGUUACCCGCUGAACUUAAGCAUAUCAAUAAGCGGAGGA
Molecule: ribosomal RNA, 601 nt
Filed under: uncultured fungus
Lineage: Eukaryota; Fungi
Description: eukaryotic LSU rRNA
Rfam family: 5.8S ribosomal RNA (bases 220-373)
Source: RNAcentral